GGGCUCUGAAUGCAUGACAUACCUUUUCUCGCUCCCUGCUCCUACUCCGUAGGAUUGCAUCGUAUUCCCCCCAGAUUUCAUCUUCAACCUGUUUGCGCUCGUGGGCCAUCAGUAUUCUGUGCCGUCUUUCUUCCAUCUGAGCACGCACAGAGCGCGCCCUCUGCAGGCAAGGGAAACACAACCGAGUGCAGCGUUAGUCUCCUGGGGCUGGGCACAGGCAGGAGCACAGGGACGGUGGGCAGCAACAGCUGCUGCUUCUGCCCUGCUCUGGAGUCUCCAAGGGCAAACGGGGCUGGCAAAUGGCUAUAGCGUACCGUUGUUGGAGGGUCCUGAGGUUUAUCCGGGCGCUCAGGGGGUGUAGGCUGUGGAUGAGCUGGAGGUGUUGGCUUCUUCAGCUCCUUCUCAGACCUCUUGUGAAUUGGUGGCUCGAAUCUAAAAAGACACAGCAGGCUGAGCUUCUGGGAGUACUCUUGGAGGCCGUUUCUAAGAGCUGGGCUCGCAGCUCACACCUUAGCUCCAGCAGCACAAGGUGCUUGUGCAGGAGGAAGACCACGUCUCCACCAGGACAACAGCUGUCCCUUUGAUGUUUCCAGUGCCUUUUGGCAUGAGCACAUGCACUGCAGCCGAGGGAAACUUCUCACUGGCACAAAAGGCUCUUGCCUUUAUGUCCCCCAGCUCCACCACAACACUCCUCCAGCUGGCUCACCUGGCUUGGUCACCUUGCUUGUUUUUAUCCUCCUUGGUUUUCUUCUCUGCCAUCUUGGCUAGAGAAACCCUCCUCCGAGCCAGCACCACCGGGUCCAGCACACUCACUGCAAGAGAACACCACGAUGUCACCUCUGUGUCUGUGCAGGGCAGCGGCAGCAGCAGAGCUGCUCAGCCGUGCCCACCCACACUCAUUGCCGACCCUAGGAGCCACCAUUCCUGGGGCAUUUUGUCCCACACAGCUGCCUUCUCUCCCAUGCCCCACACAUCAACAUUGGCUCUCCUGCGUGCGAGGACGAGAGGAGAACAUGCAACCCCCUGCCAGAAGCCCACUGGGACAUUACCUCUUCGGCCACCCUUGCCCCAAGGCUGCGGAUCUCUUUUGGGCUUGAUGGAAAUCGGAUUGCAGUGCGGGUCCUGAAGUAUAAGCCUGGAAACAGAUAGACACCACUUGUCAAAAGAGGCACUGUGUUCCCUUGGUGUCCCACACUAAGAAGCUGCUGGCAGGGUUCUUUGGGAGCUACUGCUGAGCCUUUGGAGGACACAAUGGCCUGUGCGAGCUGAGGGGCCCCACAGCCUCCAGAAGCUUCUUCCCGCGCUUCCCUCGCCUUCCUGCCAGACCCAACACAAGUCCUCCUCGCUGUCCCCUCACACCCUCCCACCACUCUCAGGGACCCUCAACUGCAGACUGGCCGCUUCAUCUGCACUGCCCAGAAGGACUGAGCAGGGGGUCAGCCUGGAAGCCCUCCCAGCAACGAGCUGGUCCUGCCUCACUUUGGCAGGAGAGAAGCACCAUGAAGGGGCUGCACCCAAAGCACGAGCUGGGCACCAGCUCCCCUGGCCAGCCAGAUGUUGCAGAAGAGAUGGCACUCACGUUGGUAGUGUGAUGAAACUAUUUCCACUGAUACGAGUAUAUUUAUUUUUGCCGUCAGAUGCAAUCAUAUCCGUCAUCUUGGAGUCCUGCAAUGGGACAGACACACGUCAGCAGAAGCCGAGGAUAUGUGCUCCUUGCUCCCAAAGGUAGCAAACGUUCCCACUGCUCAGGGACAUGGCUGCCUCUCCAAAAUCCUCGCCCCACUUUCUCCUUUGGUGUCAUUAGCCCCUCACACAAACAGGCCCAGGUGCUACCGAGAGUUUGUAUAGCUCCUCGAGCCUGUCUCACCCGAUGGCGAGGCAGGCAAGGAGAAAGCAGUUUGAGAGAGCUUUGACAGCAUUGCCAGAGCUGCCAGCAGCCCCGGAGACACGAACCACUCACCGUGAGAAGAGCUUCAUACAUGUUGUCUGUGUCAUCCACCUCCAGCAGGAACUCAGUGUAGAAGUUCAUGGUGACCACUUUUCUUCGCACAGUAAGAAUCCCGAUACCCUUGAAGAAGAAUUCCACAUCCUUUUUGUCCAGGAGGGCACCAGCGAAGAGAAGCAGG
Molecule: long non-coding RNA, 2126 nt
Filed under: Anser cygnoides (Swan goose)
Lineage: Eukaryota; Metazoa; Chordata; Aves; Anseriformes; Anatidae
Description: lncRNA (ENSACDG00005005666.1)
Source: RNAcentral